AAGGAAGUACAGAAAAGGUAAGCACUGCUAAUUCUUACACCCCGGGGUUAAACUCCCCGGCUUCCUUAA
This 69-nucleotide transfer RNA is filed under the name Puntius brevis. Its description in RNAcentral is "tRNA-Ser". The record is from RNAcentral. Lineage: Eukaryota; Metazoa; Chordata; Actinopteri; Cypriniformes; Cyprinidae. RNAcentral also lists the same sequence under 1 other name.